UACGUAGGGGGCUAGCGUUGCUCGGAAUUACUGGGCGUAAAGGGUGCGUAGGCGGGUCUUUAAGUUAGGGGUGAAAUCCUGGAGCUCAACUCCAGAACUGCCUUUGAUACUGGAGAUCUUGAGUUCGGGAGAGGUGAGUGGAACUGCGAGUGUAGAGGUGAAAUUCGUAGAUAUUCGCAAGAACACCAGUGGCGAAGGCGGCUCACUGGCCCGAUACUGACGCUGAGGUGCGAAAGCGUGGGGAGCAAACAGG
This 253-nucleotide ribosomal RNA is filed under the name uncultured bacterium. Its description in RNAcentral is "partial 16S ribosomal RNA". It matches the Rfam family "Bacterial small subunit ribosomal RNA", at positions 524 to 776 of the family's 1533-position model. The record is from RNAcentral.